This 73-nucleotide transfer RNA is filed under the name Dictyocaulus viviparus (bovine lungworm). It matches the Rfam family "tRNA". Rfam says of the family: Transfer RNA (tRNA) molecules are approximately 80 nucleotides in length. The record is from Rfam by way of RNAcentral. Lineage: Eukaryota; Metazoa; Nematoda; Chromadorea; Rhabditida; Metastrongylidae.
GCUUAGGUAGUAUAAUGGAUGAGCACGACAGACUGGAUAUCUGUAGGUGUGGGUUCGAACCUCACCUAAGGUU